AAGCCGUUGAAACUGGUGUUGCGUCAUAGUACUACCAUUGCGGACUUCCCCAAAUCCUUGUGGGAUGAGUUGCUGGGUUACAGGGGCUGCUUUGACUGGAACAGCCUUGCAUUACUGGAGGACAGUUUCC
Molecule: unclassified non-coding RNA, 130 nt
Filed under: plant metagenome
Description: partial contains 5.8S ribosomal RNA, internal transcribed spacer 2, and large subunit ribosomal RNA
Source: RNAcentral